GGAGAGGUGCCCGAGUCAGGUCGAAGGGGCCGCACUGCUAAUGCGGUGACCCCCUCAAAGGGGUCCGUGGGUUCAAAUCCCACCCUCUCCGCCA
Molecule: transfer RNA, 94 nt
Filed under: Ilumatobacteraceae bacterium
Lineage: Bacteria; Bacillati; Actinomycetota; Acidimicrobiia; Acidimicrobiales; Ilumatobacteraceae
Description: tRNA-Ser
Rfam family: tRNA
About the family: Transfer RNA (tRNA) molecules are approximately 80 nucleotides in length.
Source: RNAcentral